Molecule: ribosomal RNA, 262 nt
Filed under: uncultured bacterium
Lineage: Bacteria
Description: partial 16S ribosomal RNA
Rfam family: Bacterial small subunit ribosomal RNA
Source: RNAcentral
CGGACCGGCGGACGGGUGCGUAACGCGUAUGUAACCUACCUUUGACAGGGGGAUAACAUCGAGAAAUUGGUACUAAUACCCCAUAACAUCACCGGAGGCAUCUUCGGUGGUUGAAAACUCAGGUGGUCAGAGAUGGACAUGCGUUGUAUUAGCUAGUUGGUGAGGUAACGGCUCACCAAGGCGACGAUACAUAGGGGGACUGAGAGGUCAGCCCCCCACAUUGGUACUGAGACACGGACCAAACUCCUACGGGAGGCAGCAG